RNAcentral lists this transfer RNA (72 nucleotides) under Myxococcales bacterium. Its description in RNAcentral is "tRNA-Glu". It matches the Rfam family "tRNA". From Rfam's summary of the family: Transfer RNA (tRNA) molecules are approximately 80 nucleotides in length. Lineage: Bacteria; Pseudomonadati; Myxococcota; Myxococcia; Myxococcales. RNAcentral also lists the same sequence under 1 other name. The record is from RNAcentral.
GUGCCUGUCGUCCAGUGGUCAGGAUCCCAGGCUUUCAACCUGGGGAGCGGAGUUCGAUUCUCCGCAGGCACG